Molecule: ribosomal RNA, 461 nt
Filed under: Klebsiella pneumoniae
Lineage: Bacteria; Pseudomonadati; Pseudomonadota; Gammaproteobacteria; Enterobacterales; Enterobacteriaceae
Description: bacterial LSU rRNA
Rfam family: Bacterial large subunit ribosomal RNA
Source: RNAcentral
CUGAUACCGCCCAAGAGUUCAUAUCGACGGCGGUGUUUGGCACCUCGAUGUCGGCUCAUCACAUCCUGGGGCUGAAGUAGGUCCCAAGGGUAUGGCUGUUCGCCAUUUAAAGUGGUACGCGAGCUGGGUUUAGAACGUCGUGAGACAGUUCGGUCCCUAUCUGCCGUGGGCGCUGGAGAAUUGAGGGGGGCUGCUCCUAGUACGAGAGGACCGGAGUGGACGCAUCACUGGUGUUCGGGUUGUCAUGCCAAUGGCACUGCCCGGUAGCUAAAUGCGGAAGAGAUAAGUGCUGAAAGCAUCUAAGCACGAAACUUGCCCCGAGAUGAGUUCUCCCUGAGACUUUAAGUCUCCUGAAGGAACGUUAAAGACGAUGACGUUGAUAGGCCGGGUGUGUAAGCGCAGCGAUGCGUUGAGCUAACCGGUACUAAUGAACCGUGAGGCUUAACCUUACAACGCCGAAG